CUACGGGAGGCAGCAGUGAGGAAUAUUGCACAAUGGAGGAAACUCUGAUGCAGCAACGCCGCGUGGAGGAUGACGCAUUUCGGUGUGUAAACUCCUUUUAUGAGUCAAGAAAAUGACGGUAGCUCAUGAAUAAGCACCGGCUAACUCCGUGCCAGCAGCCGCGGUAAUACGGAGGGUGCAAGCGUUACUCGGAAUCACUGGGCGUAAAGGACGCGUAGGCGGGAUAUCAAGUCAGGUGUGAAAUCCUACAGCUUAACUGUAGAACUGCACUUGAAACUGGUAACCAGAGGAUGGGAUGGGGAGAUGGAAUUAGUGGUGUAGGGGUAAAAUCCGUAGAUAUCACUAGGAAUACCUAAAGCGAAGGCGAUCUCCUGGAACAUAACUGACGCUAAGGCGUGAAAGCGUGGGGAGCAAACAGGAUUAGAUACCCCCGUAGUC
Molecule: ribosomal RNA, 438 nt
Filed under: uncultured bacterium
Lineage: Bacteria
Description: partial 16S ribosomal RNA
Rfam family: Bacterial small subunit ribosomal RNA
Source: RNAcentral